UACGAAGGGGGCUAGCGUUGCUCGGAAUCACUGGGCGUAAAGGGUGCGUAGGCGGCGGGGCAAGUCUGAUGUGAAAUCCCGGGGCUCAACCCCGGAACUGCAUUGGAUACUGCCUUGCUUGAGUACUGGAGAGGAGACUGGAAUUUACGGUGUAGCAGUGAAAUGCGUAGAGAUCGUAGGGAAGGCCAGUGGCGAAGGCGAGUCUCUGGACAGUAACUGACGCUGAGGCACGAAGGCCAGGGGAGCAAACGGG
RNAcentral lists this ribosomal RNA (253 nucleotides) under uncultured bacterium. Its description in RNAcentral is "partial 16S ribosomal RNA". It matches the Rfam family "Bacterial small subunit ribosomal RNA", at positions 524 to 776 of the family's 1533-position model. The record is from RNAcentral.